This 239-nucleotide ribosomal RNA is filed under the name uncultured Glomeromycotina. Its description in RNAcentral is "partial 18S ribosomal RNA". The stretch from base 47 to 239 matches the Rfam family "Eukaryotic small subunit ribosomal RNA", at positions 693 to 887 of the family's 1831-position model. Lineage: Eukaryota; Fungi; Glomeromycota. The record is from RNAcentral.
GGAUCGACGGGUCGGUCGCGCCUCUGGUGUGUACUGGCCCUGUCGGUUUCUCCCUUCUGACGAACCACGAUGUCAUUAAUUUGGUGUCGUGGGAAAUCAGGACUGUUACUUUGAAAAAAUUAGAGUGUUUAAAGCAGGCAUUCGCUUGAAUACAUUAGCAUGGAAUAAUGAAAUAGGACGUUCGAUCUUAUUUUGUUGGUUUCUAAGAUCGACGUAAUGAUUAAUAGGGAUAGUUGGGC